Molecule: ribosomal RNA, 463 nt
Filed under: uncultured bacterium
Lineage: Bacteria
Description: partial 16S ribosomal RNA
Rfam family: Bacterial small subunit ribosomal RNA
Source: RNAcentral
GAUGAACGCUGACAGAAUGCUUAACACAUGCAAGUCUUUGGCGAAUCUGUGCUUGCACAGGCUAGCCAAGGCGGACGGGUGAGUAACGCGUAAAGAACUUGCCCUGCAGACAGGGAUAACAGACGGAAACGACUGAUAACACCUGAUACAGUUGCCGGCACGCAUGUGCCUGGCAAUGAAAAGAGAUGCUGCAGGAGAGCUUUGCGUCCUAUUAGCUUGUUGGUGAGGUGACGGCUCACCAAGGCGAUGAUAGGUAGCCGGCCUGAGAGGGUGAACGGCCACAAGGGGACUGAGAUACGGCACUUACUCCUACGGGAGGCAGCAGUGGGGAAUAUUGGACAAUGGGGGCAACCCUGAUCCAGCAAUUCUGUGUGCACGAAGAAGGUUUUCGGAUUGUAAAGUGCUUUCAGCAGGGAAGAAGAAAGUGACGGUACCUGCAGAAGAAGCGACGGCUAAAUACGUG